This 614-nucleotide ribosomal RNA is filed under the name Fusarium oxysporum f. sp. lycopersici. Its description in RNAcentral is "SSU rRNA". It matches the Rfam family "Bacterial small subunit ribosomal RNA", at positions 335 to 882 of the family's 1533-position model. The record is from RNAcentral. Lineage: Eukaryota; Fungi; Ascomycota; Sordariomycetes; Hypocreales; Nectriaceae.
ACAGCUAUGGGUCAAGCCCGAUACCUUUAAGAGAAGUCUUAUUGUGAGGGCGAGUUGUAAAACACCAUAGGGCUGGCCGUCCCAUAUGAAAAGAUUUUAUUAGAAUUGAAUGAAACUUUGUUUAUAUAUUGAUAAUGACAGUAUAUAUAUCGUGUCUUGACUAAUUGCGUGCCAGCAGUCGCGGUAAUACGUAAGAGACUAGUGUUAUUCAUCUUAAUUAGGUUUAAAGGGUACCCAGACGGUCAGUAUAGCUUAUAAAAUGUUAGUACCUGACUAGAGUUUUAUGUAAGAGGGCAGUACUUGAGGAGGAGAGAUGAAAUUUCGUGAUACCAAAGGGACUCUGUAAAGGCGAAGGCAGCCCUCUAUGUAAAAACUGACGUUGAAGGACGAAGGCACAGAGAACAAACAGGAUUAGAUACCCAAGUAGUCUUUGCAGUAAAUGAUGAAUGCCAUAGGUUAGAUAAAAAAUUUCUUAGGAGGUCGUCUCCUCAGACAAAAAAAAAUGGUGUUAUCAUUUUACUUAUUUUCUAAAUAAGGUUUGUUUUUAACUAUCUCCAGAAAUUUUUGUUUAUCUGGUCUAUAAAUGAAAGUGUAAGCAUUUCACCUCAAGAGUA